Papaver somniferum (opium poppy) is the source of this 905-nucleotide long non-coding RNA. RefSeq lists it as uncharacterized. The record is from RefSeq and is a predicted model, not a curated record. Lineage: Eukaryota; Viridiplantae; Streptophyta; Magnoliopsida; Ranunculales; Papaveraceae. The transcript has 4 exons.
ACCGUUUUUAUUUCUCUGGUUUUUUAGGAAUAUAUAGGUUAAUGGUGAUUUUUGAUCUGCAGAAGCUGGUAUACGUCUUCUCGCUAUGUUGACAUAAAUGAACGCAUACACAAUGCCGCGUAUUGAUAAGGUUUUCGUGAACAUAUGUGAUAGUAAGAUUUUAAUUCAUGGAUAAUGGAUCAGUUAUUCGAAGCUUUUGUGGCCAAAAUAUAAACGGAUGCAAGAAGGAUGAAACAAUGAAAUGGGAUCUUUUGGUUGGGAAGUAUAUCUAGAUCAACAACCUUAACUGAGUGCAGUAAGAGUUCGUGCUUCUAUGUCAGCAGGAAACAUCUAUGAAGAAAAUAUCAUCUUUGGAUUUCAGAAGUACCGUAUUGGAAGAGUUGUGCAAGGAUCAUUGAUGUUCGAAUGUGGUUUUGCACUUAUGUUUCUUUCUUAGUAUUUGGAUCUUUUAGAAAGUCUGAUUCGAGUCUCGACUGCCUUUCCAUUUUAUAGUGUUCAUACUAUACUACAACAGUGGUAAUGUUCUUGCUUAGACAGUAGAGGUUAUGACAAGUAUUCAAGUAGUUAAUUACCAAGCAGCAAUCAGGGCAUCUUGAUUACUGAGCGACGGUGGCAAAGGCACAAGAAUGAUUUGCAUUAUUCUUAGCCCUUAUAAAGUUAAUCCCAACAGCAGUUACAGACUACCCAUUAUGGACCGAUGAGGACAGUUUUUUCGGCCUUCUUUUAAGCUAUAUGAAUGUAAUGCUUCACCUUGGUGCUUGAAAAUUCUUUAAUUUGUCGCCUGUAGUAAUUAAGCUUGUAUUGUAUACGUUUGGAGAACUUUGUUGUAAUUCCUAAUUUUCUAUAUUAUCACUUUAUAUCAAGGCUUAAAUUAAGGCCAUUAGUGUUUGUUGGACUGGAUUCCU